Molecule: ribosomal RNA, 165 nt
Filed under: uncultured bacterium
Lineage: Bacteria
Description: partial 16S ribosomal RNA
Rfam family: Bacterial small subunit ribosomal RNA
Source: RNAcentral
CCUACGGGAGGCAGCAGUGGGGAAUAUUGGACAAUGGGCGAAAGCCUGAUCCAGCCAUGCCGCGUGUGUGAAGAAGGUCUUCGGAUUGUAAAGCACUUUAAGUUGGGAGGAAGGGCAGUAACUUAAUACGUUGCUGUUUUGACGUUACCGACAGAAUAAGCACCG